Small nucleolar RNA from Macaca fascicularis (crab-eating macaque), 90 nucleotides. The record is from Ensembl. NCBI's taxonomy places the organism in Eukaryota, Metazoa, Chordata, Mammalia, Primates, Cercopithecidae.
AUAAUCUUGUGGUUCAUAAGCAUGAUGAUUGCCUUUUCACACUCGUAUGAGAUGAACUUCGUUAUGAUGUUGGCACAUUCCCAUCUGAUG